This 803-nucleotide long non-coding RNA is filed under the name Capra hircus (goat). RNAcentral describes it as "lncRNA (ENSCHIG00010009388.1)". Lineage: Eukaryota; Metazoa; Chordata; Mammalia; Artiodactyla; Bovidae. The record is from RNAcentral.
AUGGUGGCUCCGUUUCUUCCGCAUGAAAUGGUCCCGAUGGGCCGUUCCCGUCCCACACCCAGCUCGCCUCUCACUCUUGCUCACACACCGAGAUCGCUGCCUCAAGGAAAGUUUCCUUGGCUUCUCAAGCAACGUGUACAGCAAAGUGGUUCAGCUCUACACGUACUUGUUCUUGUACCUUCCAUGACGUCAGUGAUUGAUCAGUAUCGAUCCUCUGGGUUCGAUGGCGAGCUCCAAGAGACCCGGAAUCACGAAAUAACUGAAGAAAAGUGCUGUAACGUUUUACAAAGUUGAGGAAACAGACAGGUCUAGCAGUCACAGCAGAGCUGUUCACCUAGCCCUCUGCUCCCUGAAGAUAACCACGGAAGGACGAGUACUUGGGCUGUUGUUACACCUGUAUGGCUGGAAGGGACCGCAUUCCCACAGGUGAACAGGAGUGAAGGGAAAUGGGAACAGGCUGAUGUCUGAAGCACAGGAGCUUUGACAGACAUUCACGUCUUCACACUGUGACUGAAGAAGGAGCGGACAUGAAUGAGACUGAGAGUGAAGGGGCUGGAAAGAAAGAGCGAGAGAAAUUGUGUAGACGGAGCAUCUGAUGAGAAAACGGUCACGUCUUUUCCAAGGAGUGCUGCACCCCAUUUCUAAACUCAACACUGGAUCAAAGCUUUAUGUUCAGUUCAGUCAGUCGCUCAGUCGUGCCUGACUCUUUGCGACCCCAUGAACUGCACACGCCAGGCCUCCCUGUCCAUCACUAACUCCCGGAGCCCACAGAAACCCCAUGUCCAUUGAGUCAGUGAUGCCAU